GAGCAUGUACCCAUUACACGUUGUUUCUGCAUGUUGCACGUUGUUCCUGCAUGUGUGGCUUGAACUGUUCAACGCCCGUUUUUUCUUUAACCCAUUUAGCGUCAGUUUCUCUUUUAAUCUGAGAUUUGCGGCUUCAAGCUCGGAUUGUUUUGUUUUUCAGUUGUACAUUCUACUAUAAAUAACAACACUAUGCUGAUCAAAGGAAUCGGCAGGUGAGCUAAGUUCUAAAGGAAUCUGUGUCAAUUUCUUUUCCUCUGUUCCAAAAAUCCUUUCCUCUGUUUUUCAUAAAUCUGCAGAAAAUUUCCAGAAAUUGCAGAGGCUCCUAAACAGUGCAGAAUCUUCAAAGCCUAAGAUCCACAGCUUCGCUUGCAACUUUGGAUUCUCAGAGGCUUGUUCUGCCAUUCGAGUGUUGUUGCAUGCUUGAUAGAGGCGAUUUUUCAGAAACUUUGAGAUCCCUCUCUCAGUUCCCUCCCUUUUUCGUCUGCGAUCUUCAAUUAGGGUUCUACCCUUUUCAGCUAUGGAGGAGUUAAAACUUUUUCUAUGAUCAAGGUCUCAAGGAUCGUUGUACCGUUCCCCUCAUCAUGGGCAAGAGAUCCUCAAGGCAAAGAGAUGGUUGGUUGAGCUCUCUCGACUUCCUCCUCCAUAGCUCAGACGAAAGCUCACUUCUUUAGCUCGUGCUUCAAGUUGUCUUCGUUUUUUGGGUUGCAUGUGCUUGAAUCUUUGUUCCUUUGUUGCGACUGUUGAAGCUGUAUUCCGAUGCUAUACUCGCAGCAGGCGGUGUAGGCAGCAGACAUAGAAAUUUCUCAACAAGCAAAGUUUUUUAGUUUCUUGGGCGUUAGGCUUUCUGUUCGAGUUAGACCUUGAACCUGGGUUUUUGCUUUGUUGUAGCUUGCUAGGCUUUUUAUCUCGAGCUUAAAAGGUUUUUUCUGUGUUGAGUUGUUUUUGGGCCUAGUGCCCUUUGGUUUUAAUGCAAUAUUAUCUUUUUUUUUUU
Manihot esculenta (cassava) is the source of this 991-nucleotide long non-coding RNA. RefSeq lists it as uncharacterized. The transcript has 2 exons. The record is from RefSeq and is a predicted model, not a curated record. NCBI's taxonomy places the organism in Eukaryota, Viridiplantae, Streptophyta, Magnoliopsida, Malpighiales, Euphorbiaceae.